AUCCAGGAGAAGUCUGACUGAGCACGCCGCGUGAGUGAUGAAGGCUUUCGGGUCGUAAAACUCUGUUGUUAGGGAAGAACAAGUGCUAGAUUGAAUAAGCUGGCACCUUGACGGUACCUAACCAUGAAAGCCACGGCUAACUACGCUGCCAGCAGCCGCGGUAAUACGUAUGUGGCAAGCGUUAUCCGGAAUUAUUGGGCGUAAAGCGCGCGCAGGUGGUUUCUUAAGUCUGAUGUGAAAGCCCACGGCUCAACCGUGGAGGGUCAUUGGAAACUGGGAGACUUGAGUGCAGAAGAGGAAAGUGGAAUUCCAUGUGUAGCGGUGAAAUGCGUAGAGAUAUGGAGGAACACCAGUGGCGAAGGCGACUUUCUGGUCUGUAACUGACACUGAGGCGCGAAAGCGUGGGGAGCAAACAGGAUUAGAUACCCUGGUAGUCCACGCCGUAAACGAUGAGUGCUAAGUGUUAGAGGGUUUCCGCCCUUUAGUGCUGAAGUUAACGCAUUAAGCACUCCGCCUGGGGAGUACGGCCGCAAGGCUGAAACUCAAAGAAAUGGGACGGGA
This 561-nucleotide ribosomal RNA is filed under the name uncultured Bacillus sp. RNAcentral's name for it is "bacterial SSU rRNA". It matches the Rfam family "Bacterial small subunit ribosomal RNA", at positions 369 to 919 of the family's 1533-position model. Lineage: Bacteria; Bacillati; Bacillota; Bacilli; Caryophanales; Bacillaceae. The record is from RNAcentral.